Molecule: long non-coding RNA, 753 nt
Organism: Wasmannia auropunctata (little fire ant)
Lineage: Eukaryota; Metazoa; Arthropoda; Insecta; Hymenoptera; Formicidae
Exons: 2
Source: RefSeq, a predicted model, not a curated record
GAUUACGGUUAUAUAUUCGAUACGCAACGAGUACAAUUAUAUACAAUUAACGCGUCAUUGACUUCUAAAUUUACCUCGGUGCCAUAAUUGCACUAAUUAAUCCCGCCUAUAUAUUCGAUCAGAUCUGAGAAUUAGUACGCGUGUUCACGAUGAACGAGAGAGAGGAAAAUAAAAUGCGAAAGCGGUUUAUUAUCCGGCGGAAGCUAGCCUAUUCAACAUCGAUGGACCUUCCAGCGAGCCCUGAUCCUUACGCCAAUAUUGAUUCGAUUAACCUUCCUUAACCUCGGGGGCAUACGGACCGAGGGGUUUGUCUGCCACUGACAGCUAGUGGGUGUAUCUCGAGGUGUGCUGACACUCGAUAAGUCCCAGAUGAGAGAUCGUAAGGGACAGAAUGUUACCGCGUUACCCACUACGCUCCAUGAUGUCGAACGACCUCGUGCGAGUACAUCAAAUCUUUUGCCGAUAGCAUCCACGUCUUGGUCAGUCUUACGUUUAUCGUCGUGUAUUUCAGCCACUUUUUAUAGUUUUCAUAGAUAUGAUAAGGCGAAUGAAAUGUAUUCGCCGUCAAGUAUGAACAUCUGUUUGUGAUUUCGAGCGAUUGUGUGUGUCCGGCUGAAAUUUACUUUGCGAAAACGGUUUUAAUAUCGCGAAAGAGGAGUAUCCAGAUAUCUGUCAAUUUAGCGGAUUAACACGGAUGUGUAUACUGUAUAUUUGUUGUUCCUUCCAAUAAAAAGAUUUUAUAAACACAAAAAA